This is a long non-coding RNA of Apis florea (little honeybee), 2238 nucleotides long. The record is from RefSeq and is a predicted model, not a curated record. NCBI's taxonomy places the organism in Eukaryota, Metazoa, Arthropoda, Insecta, Hymenoptera, Apidae.
GCACGGAGAUAGGUGGCGCGUUGUUGCGCGGCUCGUUCGAGGCGGCGACUUCCCGAAGAAUCACGGGGCACCCGAGUAAUUAUUAUCUGACGGCACGCAGCGCGGAACGGGAAAAAAAUAAUUGUAGGUUCUUUUAGAAAAGCUUGGGGCAUUUAAGUGGAAUUCCAUCGUUGACUUUGGAUACGAGUCCAAAAAUUACAAUGCUAUACGAAUAUACCAGAGUGAUUAUCCUAUUUUAUUAUCGUAUUGCGUCGUGGAAUAUUCGAGUCUCUUUCCCAAUAAUACGAGGCGUCCUAUACGUUGUCGACGAAUCCGAAGAGAAAUAUUUACAUUCCAUCGAUCGACUAAGAUCACCACCGCACCAUCCGCCAAGAACACGAGAGAUCGGUCGAGACGCUACGUCGUAGAAACUACGUAUCGAGCGGGAAUAUCGUUGAUGAAUCGAACUCUGACGAAACACGCCCGUUAUUUUCAUAGUCCGAGAUUUCAUUGUUCAGAUUUUCUGCCGGAUUACCGGCGGCUCGAACCAGCCCGGCUUUUGCCGACAGAUUGUUAAUUGAUCGGAAACACGCACGGUUGCGCGCCACCCGCUGCUCCGCCCCGCUUCCCGAUAAAUAUUCUCUCCUCCUGCGCACACCACCUUCUCUUUCUCCUCCGUGUACACACAUCCGUAUAUUCGGUUGAAAACAAUUAGGGAGGAUAUCUCGGGCCGGAGUCGACGGGAAUUAAAAUGCGGAUGGAAGGAAGUUUUUCCUCGGUUUUUCAUCGACACCGAGGGGCUUGUUGCUUCGACAAUCGGGUGGUACAACGGGGAGGGUUUCUUCGGGGAGGGAAAAAGUGACGCUGACAGAUAAAAAGUGGAGAACAGGAAAGUGGAAAUGAUGCGCUUAAAGGCUCUUCGUGGCUCGGCUUUUGGCAGAUUCAUCGUAUCGAGAUCGUUUCGUUUCUGUCGAGAUCUCGAAUUUUCUUCCCCCAGAGUCGAGAUAUAUAUAUAUAUAUUGGUUACAUCGAGCGUGUCGUUGAUGUUAUCGAUAAUUUCGAGCUGGCUGAUUCGAAUUGUUCUAUUGUAGGGAAGUAGUUGUACAGGGAAGUUUGUUUUUCGUUAUUGUUUUGUUUUCGAAUCGACAUCAUUUUAUCAUGGUCGUGUAAUUGAGCGACUCACACGUGUUUAAACUAUUCUUGCUCGAUUUCGAUUACGAGAGAUAUAUACUUGGGUGUGGAAUUAAGUAAAGCGAUUGAUUAUUAUGCAGAUAACUUAUGUGACAAUUGUUAUUUAACGAUAGAGAAAAAAAGGGAGAAUUUAAAUUAAAUAAAAGCUGUAUAAAAAACUGUAUCGUUUGUUAAUUAUUUAACAAAUAAAUGUCGGGGACGGAUGAUUAUUUACAAGAAUAAUGUAUCGUUGCAAAAAAUUUUAAUUUAAUUGCAAACAUAAUUAUUGGAUGAGGAUAAUUAAAAGCACGGAAUGUCACGUACGGGAAGCUAAAAUUUACGGAGGGGAGUAAAAUUUUUACAAAGAUAUUUCCCUCGAAUAAUAUAUGAUACGGUAAUAACGAACAUUCCGCGCGAAUUGAAUAUUUCUUUCAAACAUCACGGCCAAUGUACACCACGAAAAGAAAAAAAAGAAGAAAUAUCACAAACACGUGAAAUUAAACGAGUAUCCCUCUAGUCUUACGCUUCUUGCUCUGGACACGAUAAAGCAUUUUUCAACUUCAUAAUUACGGGAUAUUCCUUUUUUCUCUCGUUACCUCAUAAAACAAGCUGUCAAACCUCAGCCGAAAACACAAUAUCCAGUCACUCAUCCAUCCAGUGGUAAUGAAUGAAUUUAUGGUUACGGCUACCGAUAUUUUUCCAAACAGAGUAAUAUUCACCCGAUCUAUCGAAUUGUCGGAUUAUAAGAAUGAUUCGAUAAUUUCGAAUAAUUAAAAGAAAAGAAAAGUAUAAUCGAAAUAUUUGAUAACAAUAUUUGCUAUAAACGGAUACUUUUAAUCGAGCGCCACCUGCAGUCUUAUUAUCGCUUGAUAUCGCUAUUAAUUUCGUUACUUAAAUAUUUUUGCUUUCCAUCCCGAAGCACAUGUUGUUUAACCUUUCCCUUCUAUUCUAUAAUCAGUAUCAUCCCGUCACACACGCGUCAUCCAAAAUUAUCUAAACUGUGACCUAUCUUGCCAUCCCCACUUUUAACAUUUCAAACCCCUGACACAACUCCUGACAUUUUCCCCCAAUGACACCAAUAAUUGUGGC